This 433-nucleotide ribosomal RNA is filed under the name uncultured bacterium. RNAcentral's name for it is "partial 16S ribosomal RNA". It matches the Rfam family "Bacterial small subunit ribosomal RNA", at positions 29 to 507 of the family's 1533-position model. The record is from RNAcentral.
AACGAACGCUGGCGGCAUGCCUAACACAUGCAAGUCGAACGAGACCUUCGGGUCUAGUGGCGCACGGGUGCGUAACGCGUGGGAACCUGCCCUUAGGUUCGGAAUAACUCCCCGAAAGGGGUGCUAAUACCGGAUAAUGUCUUCGGACCAAAGAUUUAUCGCCUUUGGAUGGGCCCGCGUUGGAUUAGCUAGUUGGUAGGGUAAAAGCCUACCAAGGCGACGAUCCAUAGCUGGUCUGAGAGGAUGAUCAGCCACACUGGGACUGAGACACGGCCCAGACUCCUACGGGAGGCAGCAGUGGGGAAUAUUGGACAAUGGGCGAAGGCCUGAUCCGGCAAUGCCGCGUGAGUGAUGAAGGCCUUAGGGUUGUAAAGCUCUUUUACCCGGGAUGAUAAUGACAGUACCGGGAGAAUAAGCUCCGGCUAACUCCGUG